This 1346-nucleotide ribosomal RNA is filed under the name uncultured bacterium. Its description in RNAcentral is "partial 16S ribosomal RNA". It matches the Rfam family "Bacterial small subunit ribosomal RNA", at positions 28 to 1381 of the family's 1533-position model. The record is from RNAcentral.
GACGAACGCUGGCGGCGUGCUUAACACAUGCAAGUCGAACGGAGAGGCCCUGCUUUUGUGGGGUGCUCGAGUGGCGAACGGGUGAGUAACACGUGAGUAACCUGCCCUUGACUUUGGGAUAACUUCAGGAAACUGGGGCUAAUACCGGAUAGGAGCUCCUGCUGCAUGGUGGGGGUUGGAAAGUUUCGGCGGUUGGGGAUGGACUCGCGGCUUAUCAGCUUGUUGGUGGGGUAGUGGCUUACCAAGGCUUUGACGGGUAGCCGGCCUGAAAGGGUGACCGGCCACAUUGGGACUGAGAUACGGCCCAGACUCCUACGGGAGGCAGCAGUGGGGAAUAUUGCACAAUGGGCGGAAGCCUGAUGCAGCAACGCCGCGUGCGGGAUGACGGCCUUCGGGUUGUAAACCGCUUUCGCCUGUGACGAAGCGUGAGUGACGGUAAUGGGUAAAGAAGCACCGGCUAACUACGUGCCAGCAGCCGCGGUGAUACGUAGGGUGCGAGCGUUGUCCGGAUUUAUUGGGCGUAAAGGGCUCGUAGGUGGUUGAUCGCGUCGGAAGUGUAAUCUUGGGGCUUAACCCUGAGCGUGCUUUCGAUACGGGUUGACUUGAGGAAGGUAGGGGAGAAUGGAAUUCCUGGUGGAGCGGUGGAAUGCGCAGAUAUCAGGAGGAACACCAGUGGCGAAGGCGGUUCUCUGGGCCUUUCCUGACGCUGAGGAGCGAAAGCGUGGGGAGCGAACAGGCUUAGAUACCCUGGUAGUCCACGCUGUAAACGGUGGGUACUAGGUGUGGGGUCCAUUCCACGGGUUCCGUGCCGUAGCUAACGCUUUAAGUACCCCGCCUGGGGAGUACGGCCGCAAGGCUAAAACUCAAAGGAAUUGACGGGGCCCCGCACAAGCGGCGGAGCAUGCGGAUUAAUUCGAUGCAACGCGUAGAACCUUACCUGGGUUUGACAUGGAUCGGGAGUGCUCAGAGAUGGGUGUGCCUCUUUUGGGGUCGGUUCACAGGUGGUGCAUGGCUGUCGUCAGCUCGUGUCGUGAGAUGUUGGGUUAAGUCCCGCAACGAGCGCAACCCUUGUUCACUGUUGCCAGCACGUUAUGGUGGGGACUCAGUGGAGACCGCCGGGGUCAACUCGGAGGAAGGUGGGGAUGACGUCAAGUCAUCAUGCCCCUUAUGUCCAGGGCUUCACGCAUGCUACAAUGGCUGGUACAGAGAGUGGCGAGCCUGUGAGGGUGAGCGAAUCUCGGAAAGUCGGUCUCAGUUCGGAUUGGGGUCUGCAACUCGACCUCAUGAAGUCGGAGUCGCUAGUAAUCGCAGAUCAGCAACGCUGCGGUGAAUACGUUCCCGGGGCU